This 389-nucleotide RNase P RNA is filed under the name Acetobacter estunensis. Its description in RNAcentral is "RNase P RNA component class A". It matches the Rfam family "Bacterial RNase P class A". From Rfam's summary of the family: Ribonuclease P (RNase P) is a ubiquitous endoribonuclease, found in archaea, bacteria and eukarya as well as chloroplasts and mitochondria. Its best characterised activity is the generation of mature 5'-ends of tRNAs by cleaving the 5'-leader elements of precursor-tRNAs. The record is from RNAcentral. Lineage: Bacteria; Pseudomonadati; Pseudomonadota; Alphaproteobacteria; Acetobacterales; Acetobacteraceae.
CCAGACGGUUGGACGACCGCUGCCGCGCGUGCGUGGCGGAGGAAAGUCCGGGCUCCACGGGAGAACGGUGCCGGUUAACGACCGGCGGGGGCGACCCCAGGGACAGUGCCACAGAAAACAGACCGCCUUCCGGACCUGUUCGCAGGUUGGAGGUAAGGGUGAAACGGUGCGGUAAGAGCGCACCGCGCUUCCGGUAACGGCGGCGGCACGGCAAACCCCACCGGGAGCAAGACCGAAUAGGGACGACAGGCAGCCUGACUGCCGGGGGCUCUCCCGCCCUGUCGUCCGGGUUGGUCGCGUGAGGCACGUUGCAAGACGUGUCCCAGAGGAAUGGUCGUUACGGCUCCAUCAGGGGCCGACAGAACCCGGCUUACAGACCGUCUGGCUCC